Molecule: ribosomal RNA, 253 nt
Filed under: uncultured bacterium
Lineage: Bacteria
Description: partial 16S ribosomal RNA
Rfam family: Bacterial small subunit ribosomal RNA
Source: RNAcentral
UACAGAGGGGGCAAGCGUUGUUCGGAAUUACUGGGCGUAAAGGGCGCGUAGGCGGCCUUCUAAGUCGAACGUGAAAUCCCUGGGCUCAACCCAGGAACUGCGUCCGAUACUGGAUGGCUUGAGUUUGGGAGAGGGAUGCGGAAUUCCAGGUGUAGCGGUGAAAUGCGUAGAUAUCUGGAGGAACACCGGUGGCGAAGGCGGCAUCCUGGACCAACACUGACACUGAUGAGCGAAAGCCAGGGGAGCAAACGGG